Molecule: ribosomal RNA, 490 nt
Filed under: uncultured bacterium
Lineage: Bacteria
Description: partial 16S ribosomal RNA
Rfam family: Bacterial small subunit ribosomal RNA
Source: RNAcentral
AAUGAACGCUGGCGGCAUGCCUUACACAUGCAAGUCGAACGGCAGCAUGACCUAGCUUGCUAGGUUGAUGGCGAGUGGCGAACGGGUGAGUAAUGCAUCGGAACGUGCCUUUUAGUGGGGGAUAACGUAGCGAAAGUUACGCUAAUACCGCAUAUUCUCUGAGGAGGAAAGCAGGGGACCUUCGGGCCUUGCGCUAGAAGAGCGGCCGAUGUCGGAUUAGCUAGUUGGUGAGGUAAAGGCUCACCAAGGCAACGAUCCGUAGCGGGUCUGAGAGGAUGAUCCGCCACACUGGGACUGAGACACGGCCCAGACUCCUACGGGAGGCAGCAGUGGGGAAUUUUGGACAAUGGGCGCAAGCCUGAUCCAGCCAUGCCGCGUGAGUGAAGAAGGCCUUCGGGUUGUAAAGCUCUUUCGGCUGGGAAGAAAUCGCACCCUCUAAUACAGGGUGUGGAUGACGGUACCAUCAUAAGAAGCACCGGCUAACUACGUG